AUACAUGCAAGUCGAGCGAACAGAUGAGAAGCUUGCUUCUCUGAUGUUAGCGGCGGACGGGUGAGUAACACGUGGGUAACCUACCUAUAAGACUGGGAUAACUCCGGGAAACCGGGGCUAAUACCGGAUAAUAUUUUGAACCGCAUGGUUCAAUAGUGAAAGACGGUUUCGGCUGUCACUUAUAGAUGGACCCGCGCCGUAUUAGCUAGUUGGUAAGGUAAUGGCUUACCAAGGCGACGAUACGUAGCCGACCUGAGAGGGUGAUCGGCCACACUGGAACUGAGACACGGUCCAGACUCCUACGGGAGGCAGCAGUAGGGAAUCUUCCGCAAUGGGCGAAAGCCUGACGGAGCAACGCCGCGUGAGUGAUGAAGGUCUUCGGAUCGUAAAACUCUGUUGUUAGGGAAGAACAAAUUUGUUAGUAACUGAACAAGUCUUGACGGUACCUAACCAGAAAGCCACGGCUAACUACGUGCCAGCAGCCGCGGUAAUACGUAGGUGGCAAGCGUUAUCCGGAAUUAUUGGGCGUAAAGCGCGCGUAGGCGGUUUCUUAAGUCUGAUGUGAAAGCCCACGGCUCAACCGUGGAGGGUCAUUGGAAACUGGGAAACUUGAGUGCAGAAGAGGAGAGUGGAAUUCCAUGUGUAGCGGUGAAAUGCGCAGAGAUAUGGAGGAACACCAGUGGCGAAGGCGGCUCUCUGGUCUGUAACUGACGCUGAUGUGCGAAAGCGUGGGGAUCAAACAGGAUUAGAUACCCUGGUAGUCCACGCCGUAAACGAUGAGUGCUAAGUGUUAGGGGGUUUCCGCCCCUUAGUGCUGCAGCUAACGCAUUAAGCACUCCGCCUGGGGAGUACGACCGCAAGGUUGAAACUCAAAGGAAUUGACGGGGACCCGCACAAGCGGUGGAGCAUGUGGUUUAAUUCGAAGCAACGCGAAGAACCUUACCAAAUCUUGACAUCCUUUGACCGCUCUAGAGAUAGAGUCUUCCCCUUCGGGGGACAAAGUGACAGGUGGUGCAUGGUUGUCGUCAGCUCGUGUCGUGAGAUGUUGGGUUAAGUCCCGCAACGAGCGCAACCCUUAAGCUUAGUUGCCAUCAUUAAGUUGGGCACUCUAGGUUGACUGCCGGUGACAAACCGGAGGAAGGUGGGGAUGACGUCAAAUCAUCAUGCCCCUUAUGAUUUGGGCUACACACGUGCUACAAUGGAUAAUACAAAGGGCAGCGAAUCCGCGAGGCCAAGCAAAUCCCAUAAAAUUAUUCUCAGUUCGGAUUGUAGUCUGCAACUCGACUACAUGAAGCUGGAAUCGCUAGUAAUCGUAGAUCAGCAUGCUACGGUGAAUACGUUCCCGGGUCUUGUACACACCGCCCGUCACACCACGAGAGUUUGUAACACCCGAAGCCGGUGGAGUAACCUUUUAGGAGCUAGCCGUCGAAGG
This 1432-nucleotide ribosomal RNA is filed under the name Mammaliicoccus sciuri. RNAcentral's name for it is "bacterial SSU rRNA". It matches the Rfam family "Bacterial small subunit ribosomal RNA". The record is from RNAcentral. Lineage: Bacteria; Bacillati; Bacillota; Bacilli; Caryophanales; Staphylococcaceae.